AUGUACAUCUGGGCACUCUGGGCAUGGCUCCAGCCAAUCAGCCAGGCUUAUCCUCCCACAGCUUCUCACAAAAGCCUGCUCGCUUGGAGCAGAUGGCAGUGCCAAGACGGAGGCUCCACCGAGAUGGAGGCCACCCAUGGGGCUGGUGCUGCAAGAAUGCUGCUGCUCCUUCCAAACGCCCCUUAUCCUACUCCCGUCUGUAAGGCACGCUGCUUGCCUCAGCUCCUAAAGGAGAAAGGAGCAGAAAAGGGCCAAGUGCCUGGAAAGAAAUGCCUGGAUAUUAAUCUCCUCUCUUUAGAGAUUUAAUACUGCAUCACUUUACAGCCAAUAAUUAGUUAAGGUGCUGCCUUAGUCAGGAAAUACGGGGAGAAGGACCAGUUCAUGAUUUAAACGAAAAGGUUUUACCUAUGACCAAAAGCACUCCAGGACCAAGACCUCGCUCCAGCUGCCCAGGUGUGUGGCUCAGAUAACGAAUGUGUCUCUCCUAAACUGACGUUGCAUGACAUGUCUAAACAGACAGGCCUUCGGUUAAGGAGGUUUUGUUUCCUACUGUUCUGUACCUCUGCCUUCCCUGUACUUUCUCAGGUUAGGUCAUUAAAAAAAAAAAUUGUACCAAAAAAAUGUACUAGAAACUAUUGAUUUCUGUUGUGCUAAAGCCCCUGACAUUCCGGCGCGAUGAAGAUAUUGCUGUGGACCUUGUGAGCUUUCUCAUACUUCUCUUCUGCUUAUGAGGGUCUCUGAGGAUGGUAUUAAAGAUAUUGUAGUUCCCACUUUCUGACUGUGGGAUAUCAGCAGGGUCUCUCCUGUGUAAAGAAUAAUUAUCAGCACUGCUGUUACCUCUAGUAAGUGUGUAAUUACAUGCUCGGUUUUGUGGGCUCUAGGCUGUGCAAUUUUAAAUUAUACAAUGUCAAAUUCUCCCUCCCUCCCUCUCCCUCUCUCCCUCUCUUUUUUUUUAUUUGAAAGGGGAGG
This 969-nucleotide long non-coding RNA is filed under the name Macaca mulatta (Rhesus monkey). Its description in RNAcentral is "lncRNA (ENSMMUG00000059091.1)". The record is from RNAcentral. Lineage: Eukaryota; Metazoa; Chordata; Mammalia; Primates; Cercopithecidae.